Molecule: RNA transcript, 2109 nt
Organism: Venturia canescens
Lineage: Eukaryota; Metazoa; Arthropoda; Insecta; Hymenoptera; Ichneumonidae
Gene: grnd
Gene name: grindelwald
Exons: 7
Source: RefSeq, a predicted model, not a curated record
AGCUUUGACUCGAUGAAAUCGAAGAGUGGGAGAGUCGUAACUGUGACCGGUAGACCUGGAAUUUUCAAGUUGACUCUUAUAAUCGACAGUCGCUCUCGGAAAUUCAGUUAACUUAGACCUAUCAAGUUACUUAAAAAAAAAAUCAGUAUGUGAUAAAGUGAUUUCGUGUUUGUACAUAAAGAAGUUGGAUACACAUUAUCGUAUAUGUGCGAUAAUUUUUCUAAAGAACUACCAUUUUUGACAAUUGUCGAGUACACUAAUAAACGAAUAUCUAACUGAUGGAUCCACCCAGAGACAUUCCGUUCGAAUAUAGUUAAAAAAUAUUUUUAAUUAUCUGCAAAAAAAUAAUCCGAAAAGGAAAGAAUUUUCUUCUUACAAUUAUGAGGAUACUGUGGCUGAUUGGGAUUGUCAUCAUCGUGUUAACAGAUGCACGUCUGAAUCAUGAAGGGACCAAAUGCGGACAACAAUUAUGUACAACCACUGAGUAUUGCAGUCCGUUCGACUCUCAGUGUAGACAAUGCUCAACAAUUUGCAAUGCUAGCAAUCACAAUCAUCAGAUCGAGCUCUGCGAAAAAGAUUGUCAAGAAUAUCUGCAUGAUCGAAGAUAUGUCCUUCGGGUCGAAAUGAGUCGUGUCGAAAUUCUCAAAGCCGAGAUUGACAGACUUACAACCCUGGUGAAAGUGUCAUUAACUUUGACUAUAAUGGCGACUGUCCUUGCACUCAUUUUGGGCGGCAAAAUCUUCAUCAAACUCCAAAGAAUUCGAAGCGCUGUACAAAAAAUCUUUGGCAGAUCCUGGACAAAGAUUUUUGAAUCAAUGCUUAACCCGCGACCACAGGGGUUGAAGUUUUUCGUUUAUAAUACAUGGGAUUUUUCUGCGUUUGUGAUCACGAUUUUACUGUGGGCCUCAAUCCGUUUGGAAAACCUUGUGUUUGUGCAAGGAGUCUGGUGUAGGUGGUAAAUAAUAAAUGCGGCGGAGAAUAGCGAAAAAUUGGCGGGAUCUCACAUCGAACUACUCAAUUAAAUAGUUAGAUGGAAAAGGGAUGGCAAAUUAAUAAACAAUUACAUUAUUGGAUAUUCAAGUUUUCUCCAAAUAUAUGGUCGGAUGAGGCAUUCCUUCGCCGAAGUUUCGAUUGAAAACCAUGCACGCCAAGAUUAAAACAACGAGUAGCAACAAUGGUCGCGAUGAUGUUGAGGUGGGUGUUGCAAAGCAGAAUGGUCUGAAACUGACGAUGCCGACAAUAAGCGCGACACUCAAGCCGUCACUAAGUACGAAUGGGGAUUCAACACCAACUACCACAAGCACACCGCUUUCGAGGCGUUAUCCGACCGAAGAUAAAACCUUGGAUUUUGCCUACGACAAUCCGGCUAUGACUCCAAGUUCGGAAAGCGUUUAACCAUGUACGAAGCGCGAAAGUUCUUCCUGAAAAUUUAUAUUAAAAAUCUUCAAGAAAAAAAAAUGUAUAAUCGCUUCUCUUAUCCUGAUUGUCGAAGAUAAUUUCAAAUCUCCGAUUUAUAAUACUAAAAAAAAUUAUAUAGUGUUAAAAUUCCUUUCAAUAUUUUUUCUGUAAGGUAUUGUUGUAUAUUAUAUCCAACAUUGUUUUUACUGUCAGUCAGUGUGAUGACUUCACAACUUUGUAUGAUUCUAUUCAUUCUUUUUUCUAAAUUCGAAAGUUUGUUGUGAAGACAGAUAUUAUAAUUUAAUAUGCUUCAAUUAUAGUUUGGUAUUAUCUAGUUUUAUGAAUUUAUUAAGUAUGUGGUUAUGUAACUUAAAACCCGUUCAUAUUUGAAGUGCUCAGUUUGCUGAAGUUUUUCUCAAUUUUCGAAGUGUUUAUAGCAAUAUUAACCCUUUGAAGCAUAGUGUCAUACUGGUAUGUUACCUACGUCCACUGAGUUUUUCUUUAAUCAAAUUGUUUUUUAGUACCUAACGAAAAUGUAAAUGUAUUUUAAGGAUGUUCGGAGGUCAAUCGUGACUACUUUACCGCUAUUAAGAGCUCAUGUUGUACUUAGCAGACGAUCACUACAGUGAAAAAAAAAAACACAUUUUUCAGCCAAUAAAUGUAAUUGUACCUAAUCUAGCAGGGAAAAAAUAAACAAAAAAUUAAUUCAGA